GGACGCAGAAAAACAAGCCCGAAGAAUGCGUCACAGAAUGCACGUCAUGGUAAGUAGUCACAUCAUUGACGAUCAUGGGGCAGGAGGAAGAGGAACUCUCCAGGAGCCCCUGCACGACUCAGGCUUUCUGCACUUAAGGGUCCGACGCUUGGAACGUCAGGAGACAAGCAGCGUCACGCUGAAUGGCACCAGCCCGUCGUGGCGGCCUAGGUACUCAUCAGGGGAGAACAGCGCACAAGGGCUUUGUACUGCAGAAUACGAUUAAGCCAUAGCAGAAAUGAACGUCUCCUUCACAAGAAAAUGGAUGAAAGUAGGCAUCACCGUAUAAAGCAG
RNAcentral lists this long non-coding RNA (333 nucleotides) under Fukomys damarensis (Damara mole-rat). Its description in RNAcentral is "lncRNA (ENSFDAG00000022997.1)". The record is from RNAcentral. Lineage: Eukaryota; Metazoa; Chordata; Mammalia; Rodentia; Bathyergidae.